UGGACAUGGAGGCAACUCUGAUCCAGCCAUGCCGCGUGAAGGAAGACGGCCUUAUGGGUUGUAAACUUCUUUUAUACAGGAAGAAACCUUUCCACGUGUGGAAAGUUGACGGUACUGUAAGAAUAAGGAUCGGCUAACUCCGUGCCAGCAGCCGCGGUAAUACGGAGGAUCCAAGCGUUAUCCGGAAUUAUUGGGUUUAAAGGGUCCGCAGGCUGUUUGUUAAGUCAGAGGUGAAAUCCUACCGCUCAACGGUAGAACUGCCUUUGAUACUGGCAAACUUGAGUUAUUGUGAAGUAGUUAGAAUGUGUAGUGUAGCGGUGAAAUGCAUAGAUAUUACACAGAAUACCGAUUGCGAAAGCAGAUUACUAACAAUAUACUGACGCUGAGGGACGAAAGCGUGGGUAGCGAACAGGAUUAGAUACCCUGGUAGUCCACGCCGUAAACGAUGGUCACUAGCUGUUCGAUGUACAUUGGUACGUUGAGUGGCUAAGCGAAAGUGAUAAGUGACCCACCUGGGGAGUACGCUCGCAAGAGUGAAACUCAAAGGAAUUGGCGGGGCCCGCACAAGCGGUGGAGCAUGUGGUUUAAUUCGAUGAUACGCGAGGAACCUUACCAGGACUUAAAUGUAAGUUGCAUGAUUCAGAAAUGAAUCUUUCUUCGGACUACUUACAAGGCGCUGCAUGGUUGUCGUCAGCUCGUGCCGUGAGGUGUCAGGUUAAGUCCUAUAACGAGCGCAACCCCUAUCGUUAGUUGCCAUCAAGUAAAGUUGGGAACUCUAGCGAAACUGCCGGUGCAAACCGAGAGGAAGGUGGGGAUGACGUCAAAUCAUCACGGCCCUUACGUUCUGGGCUACACACGUGCUACAAUGGUCGGUACAGAAAGCAGCCACUAUGCAAAUAGGAGCUAAUCUUUAAAACCGAUCUCAGUUCGGAUCGCAGUCUGCAACUCGACUGCGUGAAGCUGGAAUCGCUAGUAAUCGGAUAUCAGCCAUGAUCCGGUGAAUACGUUCCCGGGCCUUGUACACACCGCCCGUCAAGCCAUGGAAGCUGGGGGUACCUAAAGUCGGUGACCGAAAGGAGCUGCCUAGGGUAAAACUAGUGACUGGGGCUAAGUCGUAACAAGGUAGCCGUACCGGAAGGUGCGGCUGGAAUACCUCCUUUCU
This 1162-nucleotide ribosomal RNA is filed under the name uncultured Flavobacteriaceae bacterium. RNAcentral describes it as "bacterial SSU rRNA". It matches the Rfam family "Bacterial small subunit ribosomal RNA", at positions 365 to 1533 of the family's 1533-position model. The record is from RNAcentral. Lineage: Bacteria; Pseudomonadati; Bacteroidota; Flavobacteriia; Flavobacteriales; Flavobacteriaceae.